Molecule: ribosomal RNA, 254 nt
Filed under: uncultured prokaryote
Description: partial 16S ribosomal RNA
Rfam family: Bacterial small subunit ribosomal RNA
Source: RNAcentral
ACAGAGGGUGCGAGCGUUGUCCGGAAUCACUGGGCGUAAAGGGCGCGUAGGUGGUGGCUUAAGCGUGCGGUGAAAGCUCGGAGCUCAACUCCGAGUCGGCCGUGCGAACUGGGCUCACUGGAGCAUAGUAGAGGCAGGUGGAAUUCCGGGUGUAGCGGUGGAAUGCGUAGAGAUCCGGAAGAACACCGGUGGCGAAGGCGGCCUGCUGGGCUAUGGCUGACACUGAGGCGCGACAGCGUGGGGAGCAAACAGGA